CAUAGUGAUCGGACGUCAUCUCCCAAUUUUGAAUUCCCUGUAUUCGAAGCGGACGAAGAUGAUGUUGAAGGGAUUCCUGACGAGAUUUCCCGACUUCUUGAGCAAGAGAAAAAGAUCACUCAGCUGCAUCUCGAGAAUCAGCAGAACAGCCAACUGGGGCAUUAUCAAAAACAAAAAAGGAAGAAAAAAAAGAAAAAAGAAAAGAGGAGGGUGCGAAAUCAAAAAAAAAGAAAUCAAAAGAAAUCAAAAGAAAUCAAAAGAAAG
This 264-nucleotide long non-coding RNA is filed under the name Lathyrus oleraceus (garden pea). RNAcentral describes it as "Pisum sativum (pea) long non-coding RNA (PSAT_LNC041675)". The record is from RNAcentral. Lineage: Eukaryota; Viridiplantae; Streptophyta; Magnoliopsida; Fabales; Fabaceae.